This 500-nucleotide ribosomal RNA is filed under the name Japetella diaphana. RNAcentral describes it as "partial small subunit ribosomal RNA". It matches the Rfam family "Bacterial large subunit ribosomal RNA", at positions 1818 to 2600 of the family's 2925-position model. Lineage: Eukaryota; Metazoa; Mollusca; Cephalopoda; Octopoda; Bolitaenidae. The record is from RNAcentral.
GUCUCUUUGAUUUUGUUUUAUAAAGAGUUGGGCCUGCUCAGUGAUAUUUUUUAACAGCUGCGGUGUUAUAACUGUACUAAGGUAGCAUAAUAAUUUGCCUUAUAAAUUAGGGCUAGAAUGAAUGGUUUGACGAGAGUUAUACUGUCUCUAUUUUAAUUGUUAGAAGUUAAUUUUUAUAGUGAAAAAGCUUGGAUGGUUUAAAGGGACGAGAAGACCCUGUUGAGCUUAAUAUAUAUAUAUAUAUAUAUAUAUAUAUAUAUAUUUGGUUGGGGUGAUCAAGGAAUAAAAUGUAAAUAGUUUAACUUCCUUAAAAAUUUUUUUUUUGUUAGGAUAAUAAACCAAUUUAUUGCUUUAAUGAUAAGUUACCAUAGGGAUAACAGCGUAAUUUUUUUAGAGAGUUCUUAUUGAAAAAAAAGAUUGCGACCUCGAUGUUGGAUUAAAAUAACCAUUAGGUGUAGAUGCUUUAUUUGGUGAAUCUGUUCGAUUUUUAAAAUUUUACA